RNAcentral lists this ribosomal RNA (419 nucleotides) under bacterium. Its description in RNAcentral is "partial 16S ribosomal RNA". It matches the Rfam family "Bacterial small subunit ribosomal RNA", at positions 355 to 776 of the family's 1533-position model. The record is from RNAcentral.
UGGGGGAUAUUGCACAAUGGGCGAAAGCCUGAUGCAGCGACGCCGCGUGGGGGAUGAAGGCCUUCGGGUUGUAAACUUCUUUUGCUCUGAACAAGGCAUGCUAAUGGGUGUGUUGAGUGUAGGGGUUGAUUAGCGCCGGCUAACUACGUGCCAGCAGCCGCGGUAAUACGUAGGGCGCGAGCGUUGUCCGGAAUUAUUGGGCGUAAAGGGCUUGUAGGUGGCUGGUUGCGUCUGUCUUGAAAGCUCAUGGCUUAACUGUGGGUUUGCGGUGGGUACGGGCUGGCUUGAGUGCAGUAGGGGAGGCUGGAAUUCCUGGUGUAGCGGUGGAAUGCGCAGAUAUCAGGAGGAAUACCGGUGGCGAAGGCGGGUCUCUGGGCUGUUACUGACACUGAGGAGCGAAAGCAUGGGGAGCGAACAGG